RNAcentral lists this unclassified non-coding RNA (338 nucleotides) under soil metagenome. RNAcentral describes it as "partial contains 5.8S ribosomal RNA, internal transcribed spacer 2, and large subunit ribosomal RNA". The stretch from base 1 to 120 matches the Rfam family "5.8S ribosomal RNA", at positions 35 to 154 of the family's 154-position model. The record is from RNAcentral.
GAUGAAGAACGCAGCGAAAUGCGAUAAGUAAUGUGAAUUGCAGAUUUCAGUGAAUCAUCGAAUCUUUGAACGCACAUUGCGCCCGGUAGUAUUCUGCCGGGCAUGCCUGUUCGAGCGUCAUUUCAACCAUCAAGCCCCAGCGCUUGUGUUGGGGGCCUGCGGCUGCCGCAGCCCCCUAAAAGCAGUGGCGGGCUCGCUAUCACACCGAGUGCAGUAGUUCAUCUUCUCUCCGGUCUUGUGAGGCGGGUUCCGGCCGUGAAACACCCCACUACAUUCAAGGUUGACCUCGGAUCAGGUAGGAAUACCCGCUGAACUUAAGCAUAUCAAUAAGCGGAGGA